This 450-nucleotide ribosomal RNA is filed under the name uncultured bacterium. RNAcentral's name for it is "partial 16S ribosomal RNA". It matches the Rfam family "Bacterial small subunit ribosomal RNA", at positions 338 to 795 of the family's 1533-position model. The record is from RNAcentral.
CCUACGGGCGGCUGCAGUAAGGAAUAUUGGUCAAUGGACGCAAGUCUGAACCAGCCAUGCCGCGUGGAGGAUGAAGGUCCUCUGGAUUGUAAACUUCUUUUAUUUGGGAAGAAACUCCCGAUUUCCAUCGGGAUUGACGGUACCAGAUGAAUAAGCACCGGCUAACUCCGUGCCAGCAGCCGCGGUAAUACGGAGGGUGCCAGCGUUAUCCGGAUUAAAUGGGUUUUAGGGGUGCAGGGGUGGGAGUGUUGAAAUCUCCGGGCUUAACCCGGAAACUUCCAUUGAUACUAUUUGUCUUGAAUACUCUGGAGGUGAGCGGAAUAUGUCAUGUAGCGGUGAAAUGCUUAGAUAUGACAUAGAACACCCAUUGCGAAGGCAGCUCACUACGGAAAUAUUGACGCUGAGGCACGAAAGCGUGGGGAUCAAACAGGAUUAGAUACCCUGGUAGUC